Phyllostomus discolor (pale spear-nosed bat) is the source of this 107-nucleotide small nuclear RNA. Lineage: Eukaryota; Metazoa; Chordata; Mammalia; Chiroptera; Phyllostomidae. The record is from RefSeq and is a predicted model, not a curated record.
GUGCUCAUUUUGGCAGCACAUAUACUAAAAUGGAAUGAUAACAGAGAAGAUUAGCAUGGCCCCUGUGCAAGGAUGACAUGCAAAUCCAUGAAGUGUUCCAUAUUUUU